AAUUUUGUGCUUCCAUUCCAAAUUCUGGUUCCUAGAAUUCAAGAACAAAGGCAUUCUCUAGGUAGCAAGUUAGUUGCCUGGGAGAGCCAUGUUGUUUGUUGCUCAAUGAAAGAAAAGAAAUUGCCCAAAAUCCAAGUUGACAAGAUAAUGCCAUUUACAAAUGGUGCACAAAACCUGCAGAGAUCGUCAAUUUAGGGCACCAAGAUUUACACUUUAAUCAUCAGCAAUUUAUCUUACUGAUAACUCAGUCAACGUGGAUAUUUCUCACCAUUGACUUAAGAAAGCAGAGCAGACACUGUGCUGGGGACUUUGAGAAAUGCAGAGGAGUGGAGAAUGCCCCCCAAGAACUUAGAAGAGAUGGACAUUUGCAUUAUUCUCUGUAAUGACUGCACAGUGUGGUCCUCUUUGGAUUCCAGCACGAGGCAUCAAACCAUACCAUGGCAUGGCUAGGACCCAAUCCGGUACCAAAAUGAAGAAAAUGACCCUACAGGACCCACAACCCCAGAUGAUGUGGCUUCCUUGGACGACACAGGCCCUCGACAUUACCUGGGGGAUGCUGAAGAAGACAACUCAGGAGGCCGAGCAAAUCCUGCUCCAGGCACAGACA
Molecule: long non-coding RNA, 607 nt
Organism: Gorilla gorilla gorilla (western lowland gorilla)
Lineage: Eukaryota; Metazoa; Chordata; Mammalia; Primates; Hominidae
Exons: 3
Source: RefSeq, a predicted model, not a curated record